This 253-nucleotide ribosomal RNA is filed under the name uncultured bacterium. RNAcentral describes it as "partial 16S ribosomal RNA". It matches the Rfam family "Bacterial small subunit ribosomal RNA", at positions 524 to 776 of the family's 1533-position model. The record is from RNAcentral.
UACGAAGGGGGCUAGCGUUGCUCGGAAUUACUGGGCGUAAAGGGCGCGUAGGCGGUUUGUCCAGUCAGGUGUGAAAUUCCCGGGCUCAACCUGGGGGCUGCACUUGAUACGUAGGAACUUGAGUGGGGAAGAGGGUCGUGGAAUUCCCAGUGUAGAGGUGAAAUUCGUAGAUAUUGGGAAGAACACCGAUGGCGAAGGCGGCGACCUGGUCCUUGACUGACGCUGAGGCGCGAAAGCGUGGGGAGCAAACAGG